This 21-nucleotide small nuclear RNA is filed under the name Arabidopsis thaliana (thale cress). RNAcentral's name for it is "snRNA_12804". Lineage: Eukaryota; Viridiplantae; Streptophyta; Magnoliopsida; Brassicales; Brassicaceae. The record is from RNAcentral.
UGUUUUGUCUCUGCAAUAAAC